UCUCAGGUGGCUCAGUGGUAAAGAAUCUGCCUGCUAAGCAGGAGAUGCGGGUUCAAUUCUUGGGUUGGGAA
RNAcentral lists this transfer RNA (71 nucleotides) under Bos taurus (domestic cattle). It matches the Rfam family "tRNA". Rfam says of the family: Transfer RNA (tRNA) molecules are approximately 80 nucleotides in length. Their secondary structure includes four short double-helical elements and three loops (D, anti-codon, and T loops). Lineage: Eukaryota; Metazoa; Chordata; Mammalia; Artiodactyla; Bovidae. The record is from Rfam by way of RNAcentral.